RNAcentral lists this ribosomal RNA (521 nucleotides) under uncultured bacterium. RNAcentral's name for it is "bacterial SSU rRNA". It matches the Rfam family "Bacterial small subunit ribosomal RNA", at positions 26 to 518 of the family's 1533-position model. The record is from RNAcentral.
AGGACGAACGCUGGCGGCGUGCCUAAUACAUGCAAGUCGAACGGUCUUUCUAUGGAAGCUUGCUUCCACUGAGAAGAUAGUGGCGAACGGGUGAGUAACACGUGGGUAACCUGCCCAUAAGAGGGGGGAUAACAUCCGGAAACGGGUGCUAAUACCGCAUAGUUUUCUUGAUCGCAUGAUCGGGAAAGGAAAGACGGCCUUUGUGCUGUCGCUUAUGGAUGGACCCGCGGCGUAUUAGUUAGUUGGUGAGGUAACGGCUCACCAAGACGAUGAUACGUAGCCGACCUGAGAGGGUGAUCGGCCACAUUGGGACUGAGACACGGCCCAAACUCCUACGGGAGGCAGCAGUAGGGAAUCUUCCGCAAUGGACGAAAGUCUGACGGAGCAACGCCGCGUGAGUGAAGAAAAGGUUUUCGGAUCGUAAAACUCUGUUGUCAGAGAAGAACAAGUUGGAGAGUAACUGCUCCAGCCUUGACGGUAUCUGACCAGAAAGCCACGGCUAACUACGUGCCAGCAGCGGC